GACGAACGCUGGCGGCGUGCCUAAUACAUGCAAGUUGAGCGCUGAAGGUUGGUACUUGUACCAACUGGAUGAGCAGCGAACGGGUGAGUAACGCGUGGGGAAUCUGCCUUUGAGCGGGGGACAACAUUUGGAAACUAAUGCUAAUACCGCAUAAAAACUUUAAACACAAGUUUUAAGUUUGAAAGAUGCAAUUGCAUCACUCAAAGAUGAUCCCGCGUUGUAUUAGCUAGUUGGUGAGGUAAAGGCUCACCAAGGCGAUGAUACAUAGCCGACCUGAGAGGGUGAUCGGCCACAUUGGGACUGAGACACGGCCCAAACUCCUACGGGAGGCAGCAGUAGGGAAUCUUCGGCAAUGGACGAAAGUCUGACCGAGCAACGCCGCGUGAGUGAAGAAGGGUUUCGGAUCGUAAAACUCUGUUGGUAGAGAAGAACGUUGGUGAGAGUGGAAAGCUCAUCAAGUGACGGUAACUACCCAGAAAGGGACGGCUAACUACGUG
Molecule: ribosomal RNA, 497 nt
Filed under: uncultured bacterium
Lineage: Bacteria
Description: partial 16S ribosomal RNA
Rfam family: Bacterial small subunit ribosomal RNA
Source: RNAcentral